RNAcentral lists this ribosomal RNA (253 nucleotides) under uncultured bacterium. Its description in RNAcentral is "partial 16S ribosomal RNA". It matches the Rfam family "Archaeal small subunit ribosomal RNA", at positions 474 to 727 of the family's 1478-position model. The record is from RNAcentral.
UACCAGCACCCCGAGUGGUCGGGACGAUUAUUGGGCCUAAAGCAUCCGUAGCCGGCCUUACAAGUCCUCCGUUAAAUCCAGCUGCUUAACAGAUGGGCUGCGGAUGAUACUAUAAGACUAGGAGGCAGGAGAGGCAAGCGGUACUCAGUGGGUAGGGGUAAAAUCCGUUGAUCCAUUGAAGACCACCAGUGGCGAAGGCGGCUUGCCAGAAUGCGCUCGACGGUGAGGGAUGAAAGCUGGGGGAGCAAACCGG